GAUGAACGCUGGCGGCGUGCCUAAUACAUGCAAGUCGAGCGAACGGACGAGAAGCUUGCUUUUCUGAUGUUAGCGGCGGACGGGUGAGUAACACGUGGAUAACCUACCUAUAAGACUGGGAUAACUUCGGGAAACCGGAGCUAAUACCGGAUAAUAUUUUGAACCGCAUGGUUCAAAAGUGAAAGACGGCCUUGCUGUCACUUAUAGAUGGAUCCGCGCUGCAUUAGCUAGUUGGUAAGGUAACGGCUUACCAAGGCAGCGAUGCAUAGCCGACCUGAGAGGGUGAUCGGCCACACUGGAACUGAGACACGGUCCAGACUCCUACGGGGGGCAGCAGUAGGGAAUCUUCCGCAAUGGGCGAAAGCCUGACGGAGCAACGCCGCGUGAGUGAUGAAGGUCUUCGGAUCGUAAAACUCUGUUAUUAGGGAAGAACAUAUGUGUAAGUAACUGUGCACAUCUUGACGGUACCUAAUCAGAAAGCCACGGCUAACUACGUG
RNAcentral lists this ribosomal RNA (497 nucleotides) under uncultured bacterium. RNAcentral's name for it is "partial 16S ribosomal RNA". It matches the Rfam family "Bacterial small subunit ribosomal RNA", at positions 28 to 507 of the family's 1533-position model. The record is from RNAcentral.